ACACGACUACAUUAGAUACCCCGGUAGUCCCAGCCGUAAACUAUGCGCGUUAGGUGUAUCGGUGACCACGAGUCACCGAGGUGCCGAAGGGAAACCGUGAAACGUGCCGCCUGGGAAGUACGGUCGCAAGGCUGAAACUUAAAGGAAUUGGCGGGGAGCACCACAACGGGUGGAGCCUGCGGUUUAAUUGGACUCAACGCCGGGAAGCUCACCGGAUAAGACAGCGGAAUGAUUGCCGGGCUGAAGACUCUGCAUGACUAGCUG
Molecule: ribosomal RNA, 264 nt
Filed under: uncultured archaeon
Lineage: Archaea
Description: partial 16S ribosomal RNA
Rfam family: Archaeal small subunit ribosomal RNA
Source: RNAcentral